RNAcentral lists this ribosomal RNA (992 nucleotides) under Bacillus sp. (in: firmicutes). RNAcentral describes it as "bacterial SSU rRNA". It matches the Rfam family "Bacterial small subunit ribosomal RNA", at positions 379 to 1362 of the family's 1533-position model. Lineage: Bacteria; Bacillati; Bacillota; Bacilli; Caryophanales; Bacillaceae. The record is from RNAcentral.
AAGUCUGACGGAGCACGCCGCGUGAGUGAUGAAGGUUUUCGGAUCGUAAAACUCUGUUGUUAGGGAAGAACAAGUAUCGUUCGAAUAGGGCGGUACCUUGACGGUACCUAACCAGAAAGCCACGGCUAACUACGUGCCAGCAGCCGCGGUAAUACGUAGGUGGCAAGCGUUGUCCGGAAUUAUUGGGCGUAAAGCGCGCGCAGGCGGUUUCUUAAGUCUGAUGUGAAAUCUUGCGGCUCAACCGCAAGCGGCCAUUGGAAACUGGGAGACUUGAGUGCAGAAGAGGAGAGUGGAAUUCCACGUGUAGCGGUGAAAUGCGUAGAGAUGUGGAGGAACACCAGUGGCGAAGGCGACUCUCUGGUCUGUAACUGACGCUGAGGCGCGAAAGCGUGGGGAGCGAACAGGAUUAGAUACCCUGGUAGUCCACGCCGUAAACGAUGAGUGCUAAGUGUUAGAGGGUUUCCGCCCUUUAGUGCUGCAGCUAACGCAUUAAGCACUCCGCCUGGGGAGUACGGCCGCAAGGCUGAAACUCAAAGGAAUUGACGGGGGCCCGCACAAGCGGUGGAGCAUGUGGUUUAAUUCGAAGCAACGCGAAGAACCUUACCAGGUCUUGACAUCCUCUUGACCUCCCUAAAGAUAGGGAUUUCCCUUCGGGGACAAGAGUGACAGGUGGUGCAUGGUUGUCGUCAGCUCGUGUCGUGAGAUGUUGGGUUAAGUCCCGCAACGAGCGCAACCCUUGACCUUAGUUGCCAGCAUUCAGUUGGGCACUCUAAUGUGACUGCCGGUGACAAACCAGAAGAAGGUGGAGAUGACGUCAAAUCAUCAUGCCCCUUAUGACCUGCGCUACACACGUGCUACAAUGGAUGGUACAAAGGGCUGCAAGACCGCGAGGUUUAUCCUAUCCCAUAAAACCAUUCUCAGUUCAGAUUGUACGCUGCAACUCGCCUACAUGAAGCCAGAAUCGCUAGUAAUCGCAGAUCAGCAUGCCGCGG